RNAcentral lists this non-coding RNA (30 nucleotides) under Homo sapiens (human). The record is from RNAcentral. Lineage: Eukaryota; Metazoa; Chordata; Mammalia; Primates; Hominidae.
UGCUCUAGGAGCUAAGGACUUGCAUUUUCA